RNAcentral lists this ribosomal RNA (492 nucleotides) under uncultured bacterium. Its description in RNAcentral is "partial 16S ribosomal RNA". It matches the Rfam family "Bacterial small subunit ribosomal RNA", at positions 29 to 507 of the family's 1533-position model. The record is from RNAcentral.
AGUGAACGCUGGCGGUAGGCCUAACACAUGCAAGUCGAACGGCAGCACAGUAAGAGCUUGCUCUUACGGGUGGCGAGUGGCGGACGGGUGAGGAAUACAUCGGAAUCUACUUUUUCGUGGGGGAUAACGUAGGGAAACUUACGCUAAUAUCGCAUACGACCUACGGGUGAAAGCAGGGGAUCUUCGGACCUUGCGCGAUUGAAUGAGCCGAUGUCGGAUUAGCUAGUUGGCGGGGUAAAGGCCCACCAAGGCGACGAUCCGUAGCUGGUCUGAGAGGAUGAUCAGCCACACUGGAACUGAGACACGGUCCAGACUCCUACGGGAGGCAGCAGUGGGGAAUAUUGGACAAUGGGCGCAAGCCUGAUCCAGCCAUACCGCGUGGGUGAAGAAGGCCUUCGGGUUGUAAAGCCCUUUUGUUGGGAAAGAAAGGCAGCAGGUUAAUACCCCGCUGUUCUGACGGUACCCAAAGAAUAAGCACCGGCUAACUUCGUG